This 719-nucleotide ribosomal RNA is filed under the name uncultured Actinomycetes bacterium. Its description in RNAcentral is "bacterial SSU rRNA". It matches the Rfam family "Bacterial small subunit ribosomal RNA", at positions 78 to 811 of the family's 1533-position model. Lineage: Bacteria; Bacillati; Actinomycetota; Actinomycetes. The record is from RNAcentral.
GCUUGCUGGGGGGAUUAGUGGCGAACGGGUGAGUAACACGUGAGUAACCUGCCCUUGACUCUGGGAUAAGCCUGGGAAACUGGGUCUAAUACUGGAUACGACCUUCCAUCGCAUGGUGGUUGGUGGAAAGCUUUUGUGGUUUUGGAUGGACUCGCGGCCUAUCAGCUUGUUGGUGGGGUAAUGGCCUACCAAGGCGACGACGGGUAGCCGGCCUGAGAGGGUGGACGGCCACACUGGGACUGAGACACGGCCCAGACUCCUACGGGAGGCAGCAGUGGGGAAUAUUGCACAAUGGGCGCAAGCCUGAUGCAGCGACGCCGCGUGAGGGAUGAAGGCCUUCGGGUUGUAAACCUCUUUCAGUAGGGAAGAAGCGAAAGUGACGGUACCUGCAGAAGAAGCGCCGGCUAACUACGUGCCAGCAGCCGCGGUAAUACGUAGGGCGCAAGCGUUAUCCGGAAUUAUUGGGCGUAAAGAGCUCGUAGGCGGUUUGUCGCGUCUGCCGUGAAAGUCCGGGGCUUAACUCCGGAUCUGCGGUGGGUACGGGCAGACUUGAGUGAUGUAGGGGAGACUGGAAUUCCUGGUGUAGCGGUGAAAUGCGCAGAUAUCAGGAGGAACACCGAUGGCGAAGGCAGGUCUCUGGGCAUUAACUGACGCUGAGGAGCGAAAGCAUGGGGAGCGAACAGGAUUAGAUACCCUGGUAGUCCAUGCCGUAAACGUUG